Molecule: ribosomal RNA, 301 nt
Filed under: uncultured bacterium
Lineage: Bacteria
Description: partial 16S ribosomal RNA
Rfam family: Archaeal small subunit ribosomal RNA
Source: RNAcentral
CAGUAGCCACGGGAAAACCAGCACCUCGAGUGGUCAGGAGGUUUAUUGGGCCUAAAGCAUCCGUAGCCGGUUGCAUAAGUUUUCGGUUAAAUCUAUGCGCUUAACGUAUAGGCCGCCGAAAAUACUGUGCAGCUAGGGAGUGGGAGAGGUACACGGUACUCGAUAGGAAGGGGUAAAAUCCUUUGAUCUAUUGAUGACCACCUGUGGCGAAGGCGGUGUACCAGAACACGUUCGACGGUGAGGGAUGAAAGCCGGGGGAGCAAACCGGAUUAGAUACCCGCGUAGUCCCUGUCUCUUAUAC